AUUAUGGAGAGUUUGAUCCUGGCUCAGGAUGAACGCUGGCGGCGUGCCUAAUACAUGCAAGUCGAGCGAACAGACGAG
RNAcentral lists this ribosomal RNA (78 nucleotides) under Staphylococcus simulans. RNAcentral describes it as "partial 16S ribosomal RNA". It matches the Rfam family "Bacterial small subunit ribosomal RNA", at positions 1 to 78 of the family's 1533-position model. The record is from RNAcentral. RNAcentral also lists the same sequence under 1 other name. Lineage: Bacteria; Bacillati; Bacillota; Bacilli; Caryophanales; Staphylococcaceae.